UUCUUUUUUCCCUUCCAUGUUGCUGUAUGGUAUGAAGAAAGUAUGAACUUUUGGUGCUGAAACUGUGGCUUUCAGCAAACAACAUAGAAAAAUCCAUUCUGAAUAACUGAAAAUGUAUGGAAUAAAAAUAGUCACAAAUUCAAAUUGCUACAGAGGCUCUCAGUUGAAACUCAGCAUCAAUAUUAUUUUAUAACAAGAUGUCUUGCUUAUUCCUUGAUUAAUAACCUUGAUUAUUCCAGGAACUAAUUGCCACUGAAACUACGCAAUGCUGACCCACUGAUUUCUGAAUAUUAAAAAUCUGACAUGGAAGGAGAGAAGAGAUUUACAGAGAGCUCCUUUAACAAUAAUAAGUAGGCAAAAUAUCAUCCUUAGCACUUGUCCAAAGCAGCUGCACUGAGGGACAAUGCCAUCUGAGCACAUAUUCAAGUAUGAUGAUGAAUGUUUGUGAAAAACAAAACAAAUGAAAACAGUCCCCAAUCUAUCAGUGGAAUAUACAGGCAGUAAAUAGGUGUGGAAGAACUACAUGAGCACAGCACAGCUACAGCUGUUGGCAACACAACUCCAGAGGAAACAGUUUUGGAGAUCAGCCAUACUGGAAAGUCUCUGCUUUUCUCCUUAACUCCAGAAAGUCUGCAUAGAACUGUCUGGUACUGGAGGUUAAUACUGUAAUUCUUUAGAGAAGUGGGAGUGCUCUCCUUGGGUGAGUUUGGUAUCUGCUCUGCAUGGCACAGAGAUGAAGUAGUAUCCACUUAUACAAGUGUUUCCUUCCUUCCACAAAUGCGUUAAAUUCAUUUCUUUAGUUUUGUACCUCAAGCAAUGCCAAAUAGAGCAUCCUAAAGGGUGGUUUCAGGUGGGGAUGGGCUGCUGAUUGGAUAGCUAAGAGGCCAUGGGCACUAAUGCUUUUAGAAGUUUGCCUCCUCUACCUUUCACAUGUGGUCCAGAGUUUAGUUGAUGAGAAAAUUCAAGUCAAGCUGAAAUUUUCUGCUGGUAAGAUUAGCAGAGAUACUUAUUGGGGAAGGAUGUUUCUUUUGCUGUUGUAGUUUUCUGCAGUAGAACAGAAUACGGUCUGUCUGAAAAUGGUUUAUGACAAAUUCCCAACAUUACAAGCAAAAAAGUUGCUGAUGGUGCUUUUUUUGUGCUGUUCUCAUGGGUGCAGCUGUGCUUUAGUAUUGGCUUUAUAUUUGCUCUAUUGGGACACACAGUGGAUGUUAUCUCAUGCUUUGGAGCUAUCCAAUCUUUAUUUUACAUUUUUCUGUGAAGUACCAAGUGUAUACUUAAGAGCACUUGUAACAGAUAAACCUUGGGCAUUUUGAAGCUGUUUGUACUACAUUUCUGUCUUCCAAAUACAGAUAGACUAUUUAAAUAUGCAAGUAUUUUAAUAUCUGAACCUUUCUGUCUCUUACAUUUUGUUCUCCAUUUUCAUUAGAUUUUUUUAUUUUAUUUUUUUUUACAUACAAUCAGUGUGUCUUUCCGUGUGCUCUUUUUAGUUUUAAUAGGAGCAGAAUAACUGUAGAGCAAAAGGAUUUAGAUGUGUGGAAUGUGAGUUACAGAAGAAAAUGCUUUUGGUAAAUAUGCUAAUUUAGGCAGUUUGUUGCAGUUCAUAGGGACUGUCCACACAUUGCAACAAACAGCUCAUUUUUUUUUUCCUCUGUCAUAAUUUUCCUCAUUUGGAAUGUGUGGAGCAUGGCAAUAAUUCUUUGGUAUAAAAGGUCUCUCUUUGAAAUUCAGUCUUCAUGUGCUACUCUGGUUUAACUGAUAUUGUAAUCAAAAGCUAUAUGUGUGUGUGGAGUGACUUUGAACUAGCUGUGGCUGAUAGUAAGGAUACACACCUGCUGGUGUCCUUGAUCCAUCCCACAUGGGCUCAAAGACAACAUCAUGCCUGGGAGAAAAAAGGAACUUAAUUCAUGGAGGCCUCAUACUUGCACAUCAGAUGAAUGUCCUGUAAAGGGUCUCUGCAUAAAAUCUUCAAUGAAUUUUCACUUGCACUAAACUCCAUGACUGUUCUGAUAUGGACACAAGAGCAAGUCAAUUUAAGACUACUUGAUUGAGCCUAUACAAAUGAUACAUACAUCUUCUGUGUUUCAUUUUGGAUCUUUUGACUGCUGGUUAUUGGCCAUAUUUUUACUUUUUAGAAAAAUAUGUACCCUCAGGUAAAAAAGAAAUAGUCCAGACCCAAAGAACAUGAAGUUUGUGUGGACAGCCUUAGGAAUCACAAAAAAGACAUUUGUCUGUCAGAGUAAGAAGCUGAACUGGAGCAAAUAUGGAGGACACAACGAGGUUAGAUUUCCUUGUAGCAGCUCAUGACCUUAUCAUCAUUUUCCCAGUCACUCCUGUGUGGCCCUCUUACCAUCCAUUUCUUAGCUCAGCAUAUCUUUCCUCAAACCAGCCAAAAAGUCUCUCCAGGUCCAUAACCCAUUGUCUUAAUGGACAUGUAGUAAUCACUGUUAAACCUGAAAAUGGAGUUUGUGACAUUGGAAGAAAAUAUUUGUAUUGCCCAUUUUGAGGACAAAUAAAUUCUUCAUUGGCAUUUUCACUUUCUUAUGGUUAUGGUAAUGCAUUUAAUGUAUCAGAAACAUUACCACUUCUGUCUCUUGGGAUCUCCUAUUUUUCACGUCUCUACAGAGGGUCUGUAGUUAUCUUUGGAAAUUGUAUAGAUCACAAGAAACCAUGAUUAACAGGGAUUUGCAUUGGCAAGAAUAAUUCUAAGGGUAGCUGAGUGGAGUUGGGAGGGAAGUGAGAGUUCAUUUGCUCUAGCUCUAGUUAGAUGGCAGAUACUCCAUGAUAGAUGAGCAUUUUAGUGUUCACUGGUGAAUAGUGCAUGAAAAUGCUGUAGUUUCCAACAUUUUUUCCAAUCAUUACUUUAUUUUCCUGGAUUACCAAACAUUUACCAUUUUCAUUUGAAGAUUUAUUGAAAGAAAUGAUAUCAGGUGGUUAAAAAAAAAAAAAAAAAAAAGGAGUAUUUGCAAAUAGUAACUGAAAGGGUUCCUCCAGAUUUUGGAGUGACGAUGUCUUUAAUUCAAAGACAACAUGAGCUUUCAAAGGUAAGUAGUGGAUGAGAGAUGUUGUCAGGAAGGUGUGAGGGCUGGCUCCCCCAUGAAAUGAAGCCACUCCUGAAAUAUACAUUUAUUUUAUUUUAUUUAUUUAUUUUUGAGAAGAAUUGUCUUCCCUGUGUUGGAAAUCAGAUUUUUUCCUGAGGGCCACAGCAGUGUUCCAAGGGUGGGUGCCCACUGCAACCUCCUCCAGUUACCCCUGUCUCUCAACUGCUGCUUUGGCACAGUGCAGGGAAGAGAAAUGCAUCCAUGGGCUACUCAUAACGGGCUUCUGAAGAAAUUAUUGCUUUUUGUUUUGUUUCAGCAAACUGAAGAUAGUGUCCUACAGGCACAGAAUUGAAAAGGUGGUAUCAGUGUAUCUCAUUACAAAAAGCAUUUGCAAGCAGGUGAACUUCAGAAUGAAAACCUUUUCUUCAGCUUAAGGAGGAAGAGCUUCAAAAGCCCAUUCAGUCUCUUAGUCCUUUCAUGAAACCACAGCUGCUCUCCUUUCCUGACACACUGAUUUGGCAAAUGACUUUUUUUUAAAAAAAACAACAACAAACAACAACCAAAAAAACAACCUCCAUUGAAGAAAGUUUCAACUGUUCAACUUUGUUAUCCUAUGAGGCAUUCCAAAUGUCCUCAGCUGUUGUAAUAUAGCCUAUCACUACUUGUCCUGUCCUCAGUUAACAGGCAGGAUAGGUGUCACAGUUUUGGCCUGGAUAGAGUUAUUUUUAAAGGCUCAUAUGAUGCUGUGUUUUGAGAUUUUUAAUGAAAAUAACAAUGAUAACACACCAAUAUUUAGUUGUUGCAGAGCAGUGCUUAAACAGAGCCGAGGCCUUUCCUGCUCCUUGUGUUCCCUGCCAGUGAGGAGGCUGGGGGUGCACCAGGAGCUGGGAGGGGACAUAGCCAGGGGAGCUGGCACAGACUGGCCAAAAGAAUAUCCCACACCAUGUGGUGUCAUGAUGAGCAAUAACAGCUGGGGUAAAGAAGGAGGAAGGGGGGGGAUGUUCAGAGUGAUAGAAUUUGUCUUUCCAGGAAACCAUCAUCCAUGAUGAGUCCUGCUUUCCUGGCAGUGGCUGAAUUCCUGCCUGCUGUUGGGAAAUGAUGAAUGGAUUCCUUGUCCUGCUUUGUUUGCCCCAUGGCUGUUGUUUUGCCUAGUAAACUGUCUGUAUUUUAGCCCAUGAGUUCUCACACUUUUACCUUUCCUUUUCUCUCCCCCAUGCCAACUGGGAGAGUGAGCAAGCAGUAGUGUGCUGCUGAGCUGCCUGCUGGGUUAAACCACAACAGGGCACUGCUUAUCCUAUCCUCAGCUUGUUACCUUCUGCCUUGAUUCUCUUGUUGGGAAAAAAUGGAUAUUAAAAUCUCCUUUACCAUGAUAUCCCUGCAGCACCAUCUUGAAUGUUGGUUUCAUUUGUUUUCAUAAAUUUAUUAUAUGGAACAAUCCUUUUCUGUUAGUUCCUUCCAUUAUGAGAAUGGCUCAUACAAAGCCUGAAAAAAAAAUUCUAUGAAAAUAGGCGCUAGUUGAUUUCCAAGCUAGCUUUUAGGAACCAUCCUUUAUCCCCAUCCUGUUUUUCCUUUGAAACGAAAGUUGUAAAAAUCUGUAUUGAAGACCAUGGGAACAAAGAGGGAGGGAAGAAUAAAUGUGUUUAAAUAAGAAUUAAAGCAGAAGACAGAUCCCCUCUAAUGCUAAUAGAUUUCCUAUAACCAUCAUAUACUCUAAAAUCAAUCCCAGAAGCAAUUGAAACACUUGACUAAUAUAGCUUAAUUGACAGUUUGAAGAAAAAGAAAUCAUAUACGACUGAGUUUAUUGAGAUCUGCAUAAAGUUAAAUAUGACCAAAGGGGAUUUAGACUACUAACACUACAAUUAACAUAAGACUGAAAAAGGGAUUGAAAAAGGCUUUGCUUAAACAAAACCAAAAGUUUAUUCAAAGUUAAUAUUGUUUAAACACACUGGGUUAUUCUCUUUAUACUUUGCAUAACAGGAGGUAUUUUCCCAUGACAAUAUUUGUGUCAAUACUUUCCACCACCUAGUUCAAUAUUUAGCAUGAGAAUUAAUUGAUAGAUAUAUCCCUAUUUAUAUGAAGUGUAAGCAGUCCCACACUACUGUUAUAGCUACCCCCCUCAAAUAUUUAUUCAGGAAGUACUGCCUUGACACAUGGUGAUGAUAAUGUUUGUCUACCACGUUGUUUUCUGUGAUGUAGAUUUCUAUAACAGGAAUGUGAUGACACAGAUUUUGUUAUCAGAGGCAGAAGUGAAAACACAUUUUUUC
Molecule: long non-coding RNA, 5302 nt
Organism: Anas platyrhynchos (mallard)
Lineage: Eukaryota; Metazoa; Chordata; Aves; Anseriformes; Anatidae
Source: RefSeq, a predicted model, not a curated record